This 468-nucleotide ribosomal RNA is filed under the name uncultured bacterium. RNAcentral describes it as "partial 16S ribosomal RNA". It matches the Rfam family "Bacterial small subunit ribosomal RNA", at positions 28 to 507 of the family's 1533-position model. The record is from RNAcentral.
GACGAACGCUGGCGGCGUGCUUAACACAUGUAAGUCGAACGGAAAGGCCCUGCUUUUGUGGGGUGCUCGAGUGGCGAACGGGUGAGUAACACGUGAGUAACCUGCCCUUGACUUUGGGAUAACUUCAGGAAACUGGGGCUAAUACCGGAUAGGAGCUCCUGCUGCAUGGUGGGGGUUGGAAAGUUUCGGCGGUUGGGGAUGGACUCGCGGCUUAUCAGCUUGUUGGUGGGGUAGUGGCUUACCAAGGCUUUGACGGGUAGCCGGCCUGAGAGGGUGACCGGCCACAUUGGGACUGAGAUACGGCCCAGACUCCUACGGGAGGCAGCAGUGGGGAAUAUUGCACAAUGGGCGGAAGCCUGAUGCAGCAACGCCGCGUGCGGGAUGACGGCCUUCGGGUUGUAAACCGCUUUCGCCUGUGACGAAGCGUGAGUGACGGUAAUGGGUAAAGAAGCACCGGCUAACUGCGUG